AAACAUAUUUCUUUCUUUUCUAUGGUUAUCACGACAGAUUGAAGGAUUGAAACACAAGUCUGUUUGGUCAAAACUACCAAUCCAACCCAACGCCAAGGCUCCUGCUCCUGCUUUAAGAAAGACAAUUGGUAAUAAAAUAAUUCAUUUGAUGGAUUAUAUCGAGUCAUUUCGCUCGUCUAACUCCUUGUGUCGUCAUAUUUUCAUUUCAUCCUUCCAAUCUUACAAAUUGUUUCAUGAGAAUUUUUUUUCUUCCAUUGAUGCCGAACAGUAAGAAGAUAAAAUCGUAAACCAAUUGAAAAGGAGAAGAAAUGAGAAGGUUCUACCAAAACCUGCGUAACUUUUACAUUGAGUGUCAAAUUUAUGCAAGCGAGUACAAUUUGAAAGCGUUAUUCAAUUCCCUAAAAUUUUGCCAAGUGAUGAUUUUGACCUUCUUUUAGGGGUUCGUUUUAGCUUCUCUCUCUUUUUAUUUUGAGUCAGUUCAAGGAUAUUUAUAUCAUUUUUGCACUUUUUGAAUAUUGUUCAUAUUUGCCUACAGAAUUAG
This 541-nucleotide long non-coding RNA is filed under the name Olea europaea subsp. europaea. The record is from RNAcentral. Lineage: Eukaryota; Viridiplantae; Streptophyta; Magnoliopsida; Lamiales; Oleaceae.